Mustela lutreola (European mink) is the source of this 428-nucleotide long non-coding RNA. RefSeq lists it as uncharacterized. The record is from RefSeq and is a predicted model, not a curated record. The transcript is spliced from 3 exons. NCBI's taxonomy places the organism in Eukaryota, Metazoa, Chordata, Mammalia, Carnivora, Mustelidae.
ACUCCUAGGAAUUGGGAGUCUCCAGUAUCUCAGAAGCAGUGCUCUCAUGAGGUACCUCCCUUCAAUUUUUCAGUGGAAUUCACACUUCAGGAACUUGCCACAUCAGACUCAGAUUCCCCAACAGCAGACUACAGGUAAAUGGUAUCCCUGAAGAAAGGAAACUGACUGAAGCAAUGAAUUUGUAAUCAGCCAGCAAAGCAGUUAUAUCUCAUUUCUUCUCUUUUCCACUAAUGCAUGAGCUUUUCCGAAAUAUGGUGUGCAUGUCGACAGUAUUACGUCUGUAGCAAAUAAUACAAUAUAACUUUCAUUUUACUAAUGUAUUUUUUUGUACUUAAAGCAUUUUUGAGCAAUUUGUAAAACAUUGAUGACUUUAUAUUUGUUACAAAUAAAAAGGGACCUUUAAAAUAAAUAUUAUUAAUGAAGCUUAA